GGGCCCGCACAAGCGGUGGAGCAUGUGGCUUAAUUCGAGGCAACGCGAAGAACCUUACCUGGUCUUGACAUGCCCGUCAUAGUUUUCCGAAAGGAAUUCGUCAGUUCGGCUGGACGGUGCACAGGUGCUGCAUGGCUGUCGUCAGCUCGUGUCGUGAGAUGUUCGGUUAAGUCCGGCAACGAGCGCAACCCUCGUUCCUAGUUGCCAGCGGGUAAUGCCGGGGACUCUAGGAAGACAAACCUCGUGUAGAGGUGGGAAGGUGGGGACGACGUCAAGUCAGUAUGGCCCUUACGACCAGGGCUGCACACGUGCUACAAUGCCCAGCACAAUGGGAUGCAACGCCGCGAGGUUGAGCAAAUCCACAAAACUGGGCCCAGUUCGGAUUGGAGUCUGCAACUCGACUCCAUGAAGUUGGAAUCGCUAG
RNAcentral lists this ribosomal RNA (424 nucleotides) under uncultured bacterium. Its description in RNAcentral is "bacterial SSU rRNA". It matches the Rfam family "Bacterial small subunit ribosomal RNA", at positions 917 to 1338 of the family's 1533-position model. The record is from RNAcentral.